This 162-nucleotide ribosomal RNA is filed under the name Triticum aestivum (bread wheat). RNAcentral describes it as "partial small subunit ribosomal RNA". Lineage: Eukaryota; Viridiplantae; Streptophyta; Magnoliopsida; Poales; Poaceae. The record is from RNAcentral.
CCAGCGAGAGGUUCCCCACUCUUCUUUGAUCCGUCUGAGGGCCGAGUGGCAGCCUCGACCCGAGCGGAAGUGCGAUGUGUCUGGAAACUCGGGAUCGUCUGUGCUGAACUUCAAAAACCGACGCUAUCGGGGCUUGUUGAGACCAUAGAUCGCUUUGCGUAA